RNA transcript from Panicum virgatum (switchgrass), 2543 nucleotides. RefSeq lists it as uncharacterized. NCBI's taxonomy places the organism in Eukaryota, Viridiplantae, Streptophyta, Magnoliopsida, Poales, Poaceae. The record is from RefSeq and is a predicted model, not a curated record. The transcript is spliced from 5 exons.
AGGCCAGACCCAGGGCCGGCGCUCUCUGUCACAGCCGCGUAGGAAGGAAGGAGAGGCGGCGCCGGCCGCUCCCGCCCCCAGCCCUGCGCCGGCGACGGCCGCCCCCGCCCCCAAGCGCCGGCGGCAACCGGACCCAAGCCUCUGCGCCGCAGCUGCCCUCCCUCUGCGACUGCCCCAGGCCGCCGCGCCGCGCCGCAGCAGCCCCGACGGGAGGCCCGCUCCUGCCCUCCACCGGUGACUACCUCCAGGCCGCCGCGCUGCAGUGAUCUCCGACGGGAGGCACGCUCCUACCCUCCGCGAUGGAUGCUGGGAUUGAUCCGGAUGGGGCAUUUAGGUUGUGCGUCCAGAUUUCUCAAUUCACCGCUAAGAUUGAUGACGGUACAACAGUCGAUAUGCAAAGGAAGUACGAUGAAUGGAUUGUGGACUAUCGUUCAUACACCAUGCAGAAUUUACAGAAGGACUUGGCAGCUAGGGUUAAAUGGGGAAGCUGCCAGCAUCUUUUGAUUUCUGAAUUUGAUAUGUCUGGUAUGGGGGAAAGGAAUUUGGAUGAUGAUGUAGCUUUGUCACUUGCAUUCUCUGAAAGGCUUGCUGAAAAGAAGCUGUUUUUGUUUGUGGAUGUUGAGGACAAGGCUAUGCAAAUGGAAGGUAACUCAGGUAUCACAGAGGGUGUCAUGAGUAAUGUGGUGACAGAGAAUGGUAGUGCUCAAGUAAACUCAGGCGAGGAGGUUCCAUAUGUCAUUGAUUGGGAUAGCCUACAGAUCGAACCAAUCGCAGAAGACCAAAUAGGUUGUGCAGUCCCAUUGAUGAGUGAAGAUGCUAUGUAUGCAUUUCUUGGUCUUCAAGCGGAAGAUGAGAGAGCAGAGCAAGCAAGGGCAGAGUUACCAGUUGAUGAGUCUGAAGUCGUAAACACUGCUACCAAUUCUAUUUUUGAUGGAGAAACCAUUGACAAUUGGACUUGGUUUAUGCAACAACUGCAAAAGGCAAUUGAUAAUCCUCCAAAUCUAGCUAUAAGUUCAGAUGCUUGCAAGGGUAUAGAGAAAGCUGUGAAGGCGAUUUUUCCUUGGGCAGAGCAUAGAGUGUUUCUUGCACUUGAUGAAGAAUUUUGUGAAGCAAUUUCAGGGCCCAGUAUUUGGGCGCAUGUAUCCUGCUGCAAGGACAUUCCAGCCAGCAUAUCAUGACUAUCUAAUGAACAAGAUAUAUGAAGCAAGUAGCAAGGUUAAGCCUUAUCUGGAUCAGCACCAUAGCCUCCUUUGGAUGAGGAGCAAAUUCUCAGAAGAGAUCAAGUGUGAACAUAACACGAACAAUGUUGCGGAGGUUUGGAAUAAUUGGGUGAAGGACAUUAAGGACUUCCCAAUAGCAGAGCUUGCAGAUACAUUGAGGACAAAGUUCAUGGAACUGUAUGCAAAAAGGAGAAAAAUUGGUGAAAAGCUUGCCGGCCACUCUAUACUUCCAAUUGUAGUUCGACAACUCAAUGCAAUGAGUAGGCACCUGAUUCAGACCGUAAUCUGCGUUGAAGGUUGCAGAAGGUGGUAGGGAUGAAGCACAAGUGACCGAGAUCACUACUUCACACAAAGUGAUAAGACAUGUGGUGAAUAUUAAGAACCACACAUGCACAUGCAGGGAGUGGCAAAUAUCAGGGAAGCCAUGGCCACAUGGUUUGGCCCUCAUAAUUACUUACAGAAAUCCUAAGAUGGAAGAAUAUCUACAUCCUUACUUUUCAGUAGAUCAUUUUAGGGCAGCAUAUGCUGGAAUCAUUAAGCCAUUGCCAGACAAGUCCCAAUGGCCCAAGGUGGAUCUUGGCUUCAAGGUUCUGCCUCCUCUAACAAAGAGAGCAGUAGGGAGACAGAGAAAGAAUAGGAUACCUGGGUUUCUAGAGAACUAGGGAAACAAUCCUAGAACCAAAGGUUUAUGGCAGGUCCAAUGUAAAAAUUGCGAAGCAUUUGGUCAUCGAUCCAACUCAUCAAAAUGCCCUCUGAAUGGAACUAAGAAGAGGAAAAGUCGUGCCAAGAAAGGGAAUGUGGGAAGGCCACCUGGUUCUAGCAAGAGACGGAAAGGAGAUGCACAGGAAGGCCCUGCACAGGAAAUCCCUAUAAACAGAAGUCCUGGUCCUGUGACAAGGAGCCAAAUGGCAUUAAGUCCUACUGUGAACAAAAGUCCUGCUGUGAACAAAAGUCCUGGUGUGAGCAAAAGUCCUGGUCCUGUCACUAGAAGGCAAUUGACAUUAAGCAUGGAAUCAGAGGCCUCUAAUCCUGUUGCUGUCGCCCCUCCUCUUGAUCUGCACACUACUCCUGUGAGAGUAGCAAGGAAGAAGCAGGCAGUGAAAAAGAUCACUCCCAGGAAGGCAAAAAAAUAAAUACCAUACUGCACUUGUGGUCAUGUACUUUGAUUGGUUUUGUAUGGCAUGUAUGGCACUUUUGUGUUUCGGAUGGCACUUGACAUUUUGAACUUUGCUUACGUUUGGCAACCAUGGAACCUUGCUGUAUGCUACCAAUUAUUGCCGUGAAACCACUUGGAGAUGGUCAAUGUCAUUUUGUUUACUUCCA